Molecule: non-coding RNA, 130 nt
Organism: Colletotrichum liriopes
Lineage: Eukaryota; Fungi; Ascomycota; Sordariomycetes; Glomerellales; Glomerellaceae
Source: the annotation of a GenBank genome assembly
GCCCGGCUAGCUCAAUCGGUAGAGCGUGAGACUCUUAAUCUCAAGGUUGUGGGUUCGACCCGUAAGCAUAAACACUUUCCGAAGCACAUCGCCACAGCAUAUCUAACAUUCACUAGCCACGUCGGGCUCA